RNAcentral lists this ribosomal RNA (603 nucleotides) under uncultured fungus. Its description in RNAcentral is "eukaryotic LSU rRNA". It matches the Rfam family "Eukaryotic large subunit ribosomal RNA", at positions 23 to 641 of the family's 3401-position model. The record is from RNAcentral. Lineage: Eukaryota; Fungi.
ACCCGCUGAACUUAAGCAUAUCAAUAAGCGGAGGAAAAGAAACCAACAGGGAUUGCCCUAGUAACGGCGAGUGAAGCGGCAACAGCUCAAAUUUGAAAUCUGGCUCUUUUAGAGUCCGAGUUGUAAUUUGCAGAGGGCGCUUUGGCUUUGGCAGCGGUCCAAGUUCCUUGGAACAGGACGUCACAGAGGGUGAGAAUCCCGUACGUGGUCGCUGGCUAUUGCCGUGUAAAGCCCCUUCGACGAGUCGAGUUGUUUGGGAAUGCAGCUCUAAAUGGGAGGUACAUUUCUUCUAAAGCUAAAUAUUGGCCAGAGACCGAUAGCGCACAAGUAGAGUGAUCGAAAGAUGAAAAGCACUUUGGAAAGAGAGUCAAACAGCACGUGAAAUUGUUAAAAGGGAAGCGCUUGCAGCCAGACUUGCUUACAGUUGCUCAUCCGGGCUUUUGCCCGGUGCACUCUUCUGUAGGCAGGCCAGCAUCAGUUUGGGCGGUAGGAUAAAGGCCUCUGUCACGUACCUCCUUUCGGGGAGGCCUUAUAGGGGAGACGACAUACUACCAGCCUGGACUGAGGUCCGCGCAUCUGCUAGGAUGCUGGCGUAAUGGCUGU